GACGAACGCUGGCGGCGUGCUUAACACAUGCAAGUCGAACGGUGAAGCUCCAGCUUGCUGGAGUGGAUCAGUGGCGAACGGGUGAGUAACACGUGAGCAACCUGCCCCAGACUCUGGAAUAAGCGCUGGAAACGGCGUCUAAUACUGGAUACGAGAUCAAGCCGCAUGGUUAUGGUCUGGAAAGUUUUUCGGUUUGGGAUGGGCUCGCGGCCUAUCAGCUUGUUGGUGAGGUAAUGGCUCACCAAGGCGACGACGGGUAGCCGGCCUGAGAGGGCGACCGGCCACACUGGGACUGAGACACGGCCCAGACUCCUACGGGAGGCAGCAGUGGGGAAUAUUGCACAAUGGGCGAAAGCCUGAUGCAGCGACGCCGCGUGAGGGAUGACGGCCUUCGGGUUGUAAACCUCUUUCAGCAGGGAAGAAGCGAAAGUAACGGUACCUGCAGAAGAAGCACCGGCUAACUACGUG
Molecule: ribosomal RNA, 468 nt
Filed under: uncultured bacterium
Lineage: Bacteria
Description: partial 16S ribosomal RNA
Rfam family: Bacterial small subunit ribosomal RNA
Source: RNAcentral